CUACGUGCCAGCAGCCGCGGUAAUACGUAGGGCGCGAGCGUUGUCCGGAAUUAUUGGGCGUAAAGAGCUUGUAGGCGGUUUGUCGCGUCUGCUGUGAAAGGCCGGGGCUUAACCCCGUGUAUUGCAGUGGGUACGGGCAGACUAGAGUGCAGUAGGGGAGACUGGAACUCCUGGUGUAGCGGUGGAAUGCGCAGAUAUCAGGAAGAACACCGAUGGCGAAGGCAGGUCUCUGGGCUGUAACUGACGCUGAGAAGCGAAAGCAUGGGGAGCGAACAGGAUUAGAUACCCUGGUAGUCCAUGCCGUAAACGUUGGGCACUAGGUGUGGGGGACAUUCCACGUUUUCCGCGCCGUAGCUAACGCAUUAAGUGCCCCGCCUGGGGAGUACGGCCGCAAGGCUAAAACUCAAAGAAAUUGACGGGGGCCCGCACAAGCGGCGGAGCAUGCGAAUUAAUUCGAUGCAACGCGAAGAACCUUACCAAGGCUUGACAU
This 490-nucleotide ribosomal RNA is filed under the name uncultured bacterium. RNAcentral's name for it is "bacterial SSU rRNA". It matches the Rfam family "Bacterial small subunit ribosomal RNA", at positions 501 to 987 of the family's 1533-position model. The record is from RNAcentral.